RNAcentral lists this small RNA (79 nucleotides) under Flavobacterium aquicola. RNAcentral's name for it is "Flavo-1 RNA". It matches the Rfam family "Flavo-1 RNA". Lineage: Bacteria; Pseudomonadati; Bacteroidota; Flavobacteriia; Flavobacteriales; Flavobacteriaceae. The record is from RNAcentral.
GUUUAGCCCCGAUCGAAGUGGAAAUCCUUAUAAGCCGGGGUUCGGCUUAUAAGAUUUGAAACGGAGAGCGGGAGGGAAG